AUCCAACACAUCUCUCUCAUUUUUGAGACUCUCUAUCAUUGUCCAAACUACCACUACACAUUAUCUCUCUUAUUUCCAUUCUAAAACCAACCUUUUUUCCUGCAAACGAGAGAAACUAAUACACAUCAUGUUUUUAACGCACUACCACUAUCCACUACACUGAUAAGAUCAUAACCCUGUCUAUUUCCCCCUCCGUCCAAAUACGCCUCCAACACCACCAAAGAGAACAACCGUUAGAAACACCAUCACCAAGCUCCGAACCACCUUCUACUCUCUUCGAUUUUUUCUGGAAAAAACCAAACACUAAUCCUUUGCUUCUUCAACCCCACCAGCAACGAUAGCAAAACUACCAUGAUAAACGAUUAUGCACCUUCAACCUCCUCACGAUCCACUCACCUACAACUCCCAUCUCUGCCACAACCUACUUCUGGAUUCUUCAGUUUCUUUCUCAAUUUUUAUUAUUGUACAAUUGUGUUUGUUUGACAAAAUUCGAAUCGAUCAGUUGAAGAUUUUCAAUUGGAGUUCACUUGAUUCGAUGGUUAUGGCGUUCUGGUUGUUUUUGAUGCUGUAAGAAACUUAUAAAUGCUGUAAAUGUAAUAUUGUUAUUGAUGUUGUUUCAAUUGAGAUUCAAGUGUCUUUAUUUUCUUAAUCUGUUCAUGUGCUGGUUUGUUUUGUUUUGAACUAAGAAUCAGUUUUACUAUGUUGUGAAUCUCACAUGGUUUGCGUUUCGGUAUGAAUUGUUUCAGUAUCAUCUUUGCCUUUGUAUAUGGGAUUUAGAUCCAAAUUCUCGAUUGUUGAUAUGUUUAUUUAGAUAUGAUUUGUUUCUGGUUGUUUGCUGCUACGUUGAAAUUGGAAUCAAGCUCCCACGCGUUCGAUAUGAUGUGUAUGCCGAGCAAAUUUAUUUCUUUUUAUAUAAUGAUGUAAACAAUGUUGUAAAUAAAUUGUGGCUGUUGUACUUUCUUUUUAUAGUCGAUUGCUAUCAUUUUAUUUCAGUUUCUAUUGCUUUAAAUCGAAAUUUUAAUCCGCGGAUUCGAAAA
RNAcentral lists this long non-coding RNA (1037 nucleotides) under Lathyrus oleraceus (garden pea). Its description in RNAcentral is "Pisum sativum (pea) long non-coding RNA (PSAT_LNC026787)". Lineage: Eukaryota; Viridiplantae; Streptophyta; Magnoliopsida; Fabales; Fabaceae. The record is from RNAcentral.